UACGUAGGGUGCAAGCGUUGUCCGGAAUUAUUGGGCGUAAAGAGCUCGUAGGCGGUUUGUCGCGUCGGGAGUGAAAACCUCGGGCUUAACUCGGGGCUUGCUUUCGAUACGGGCAGACUGGAGGUAUGCAGGGGAGAACGGAAUUCCAGGUGUAGCGGUGAAAUGCGUAGAUAUCGUAAGGAAGACCAGUGGCGAAGGCGGGUCUCUGGACAGUUCCUGACGCUGAGGCACGGAAGGCCAGGGGA
Molecule: ribosomal RNA, 245 nt
Filed under: uncultured bacterium
Lineage: Bacteria
Description: partial 16S ribosomal RNA
Rfam family: Bacterial small subunit ribosomal RNA
Source: RNAcentral